RNAcentral lists this ribosomal RNA (253 nucleotides) under uncultured bacterium. RNAcentral describes it as "partial 16S ribosomal RNA". It matches the Rfam family "Bacterial small subunit ribosomal RNA", at positions 524 to 776 of the family's 1533-position model. The record is from RNAcentral.
CACGUAGGGGACGAGCGUUGUCCGGAUUCAUUGGGCGUAAAGCGCGCGUAGGCGGCCCGGCAAGUCGGAUGUGAAAACCUGGGGCUCAACCCCAGGCGUGCACCCGAUACUCCCGGGCUGGAGGCAGGUAGGGGAGAUCGGAAUUCCUGGUGUAGCGGUGGAAUGCGCAGAUAUCAGGAGGAACACCGAUGGCGAAGGCAGUUCUCUGGGCCGUUACUGACGCUGAGGAGCGAAAGCGUGGGGAGCGAACAGG